AAUGCACACAUUGCUCAAUCCAAGGACAAGGGCUAGAUAUGAACCAUGAGAACUUGAUUGUUUGGACAGCAACUGUGGGAGGCUUUCUUAGCCUGGGCUCAAGGCCUGAGAACCAGGAUUGUAGUAGAUAAAGGAUGGUAACUAAGUAUAUUAAUCAACGUCAUACAUUCCUUUGGGUAGCAGUGUGUAAUGCUUAGGGGGAGAAAUAUAAUAAAAGGAGAAGGUGGAAGGCGGGGGGGGCAGAACAGCCCAUCUCCGCUGACCAGCCUGCUUGCUUGCAUAAAGCUGUGUUCUGUCUCAUCACUGAACCGCCACAACUGGCGCCCAAACGUGGGGCCCUCAGCACUCACCUCGCCCGGCAAGGGUUUCAGACGCGUCACUCAUCCGCUUCGUGGAUCCCGGGCUGGUGGACACUGGAGCUGACGUUACGGUGAUUCGUGAUCUGGAGUGGCCGGACCGUUGUGGGUUCCAGCUCGGUGUGUGCGACCGGCACUUAAACAACAUGGCAUGGCACCAGGGACUGUCGAAUCCCAUACCAGAGUUUCAGCUGACCUUGGAGGAGACCGCGUUGCCCCCCGAGUCGACAACGACGGGACAGAAACGGAGGAGGCGUAGUGUCCCAAGCCAGCCCGUGACAUGGGGAGCAGUAAAAGCAUUGGUCGCCGCAGCUCAACAAAGACUGGCAGCAGAUCAACAGCCAGAGACUCCUGAGACUUUGUUUGUGGCGAUUCUCGCCCAAAUCACUGCUAAUUCUGUGAUGAUUGUGUGCCUUUUGUGCCUGCUAUUUCCUGUAGGGGUUGGCUCGGAAGCGCCUCCCCCGUUACAAGCCUGAAUGACAUAUAACAUAUGGGAAAGAUUGGCUUCAAUAGCAAAUGUUACCCACUUUUGUUUAUCUAAUUCUGUAGCAGCCGGAGAUUUGUUAGGUACAUGCCUUAUUCCAGUAUGUCAUCACCCUGAGGAGAUGGAGAAUAAGACACUGUUCUCUGCUUAUGCUAAUCUUUCCUCCCAGUACUCUAGCAUGGCUAAUUGGGGCCCGACCAACUAUACUCUGCCUCGCACGGCUAUAUCCCUCCACACACCGUACCCGGCCGGGGCUCACAAUGUCACCUGUGCACGUGUAGUUAACUGCACUAGUACAAAGGUGCCCUUGGGCUGUCGAAAAAUUUCUCAACCCCUUUUAAAUUGUUCCCAUGCUGUUAAUGUUUCAUAUAAUUAUGGCCAUAUCAUCCUACCAUCAGGAUGGUUUUUUACUUGCGGUUCACGCACCUUUAAUUAUAUUCCUGCAAAUUUAAGUGAUGGCACCCUUUGCUGUCUUAGUAGAAUGAUACUUAUAUUGCCUUUUGCUGGUCACAAUUGUAGUAAAAGAAGUGUACCCUUUUUAGAUGAUUAUAUUGCAGAUGUUGAGCUUUGUGGUUAUUCUGUGUUUGUAAUCAUUGGGCUUUUUUUUUUUGCUGCUGCUGUGUACAAUGUAUUCCUUCCUUGUUAAGACUUUGUAAAAUUUUGCCCUGGAAAGCUCCCCAGGUUAUGUCCUUGUCUGUCUGGGAGUUAAAUAGCAUGACAAAACAAAUUGACGGCUACCAUGAGAUGGCCAAAUAUCAUUAAAUAAAAAACGGGGAGAUGAAGAGGUCAUGUUUAGCUAUUCCACCUGGAAGCAGGCAGGGCACACCCUGACUGUUUUGUAGAAGCAAUGCACACAUUGCUCAAUC
Non-coding RNA from Caretta caretta (loggerhead turtle), 1706 nucleotides. The record is from RefSeq and is a predicted model, not a curated record. NCBI's taxonomy places the organism in Eukaryota, Metazoa, Chordata, Testudines, Cheloniidae.